UAUCUCUGUAGAGUCUGCAUAUCAAUAAGCGGAGGAAAAGAAACUAACUAGGAUUCCCUUAGUAACGGCGAGUGAAGCGGGAAGAGCUCAAAUUUGAAAUCUUCAAGGUUCUACCUUGACGAAUUGUAGUUUAAAGAAGUGUUUUCUGUUGGAUGUUUUGGUAAAAGUUCUUUGGAAUAGGACAUCAUAGAGGGUGAGAAUCCCGUAUUUGACCAUUACUUCCAGCGUUGUGAUACACUUUCAAAGAGUCGGAUUGUUUGGGAAUGCAGUCCAAAAUGGGUGGUAAAUUUCAUCUAAAGCUAAAUAUUGGCGAGAGACCGAUAGCGAACAAGUACCGUGAGGGAAAGAUGAAAAGAACUUUGAAAAGGAGAGUUAAACAGUACGUGAAAUUGUCAAAAGGGAAGCGUUUGACACCAGUGUUGUUUUCUCGAAGAUCAAUUAAAAAAAGGUUAGGAUUUUGUAGUUGUUAUGACCCUAUCAGCUUACUGCACUCUUUUCUUGUCUUUUUUAAUGCACUUUUCGUUUAACAAGUCAACAUCAAUUUCUUUUGUUGUAAAAGAGUCAUUGGAAGGUGGCUUUCCUUUCGGAUGAAAGUGUUUAUAGCCUUUGGCCUUCUGCAAUCGGAGAGAUUGAGGUCUGCAGCGUAGAUCCUUCGGGGCUAGAUACAUUAGAUGCUAAGUUAUAGCUUUUUAUAGACAACUUGUUGACUAUGAUUAAGUCAUGUAGCUUACUCGCUUAUGCCUAUUUUACCUACGCUUAGGAUGUUGACGAUCAGCUGAGCGCG
This 784-nucleotide ribosomal RNA is filed under the name uncultured Neocallimastigales. RNAcentral describes it as "partial large subunit ribosomal RNA". It matches the Rfam family "Eukaryotic large subunit ribosomal RNA", at positions 24 to 635 of the family's 3401-position model. Lineage: Eukaryota; Fungi; Neocallimastigomycota; Neocallimastigomycetes; Neocallimastigales. The record is from RNAcentral.